GAUGAACGCUGGCGGCGUGCCUAAUACAUGCAAGUAGAACGCUGAAGGAAGGAGCUUGCUCUUUCCGGAUGAGUUGCGAACGGGUGAGUAACGCGUAGGUAACCUGCCUGGUAGCGGGGGAUAACUAUUGGAAACGAUAGCUAAUACCGCAUAACAGUAGAUGUUGCAUGAUAUCUACUUAAAAGGUGCAAUUGCACCACUACCAGAUGGACCUGCGUUGUAUUAGCUAGUUGGUGAGGUAACGGCUCACCAAGGCGACGAUACAUAGCCGACCUGAGAGGGUGGUCGGCCACCCUGGGACCUGGACACGGCCCCGACUCCUACGGGAGGCAGCAGGAGGGGAACUUCGGCAAUGGACGGAAGUCUGAACGGGCAACGCCGCGUGAGUGAAGAAGGUUUUCGGAUCGUAAAGAUCCGUUGUAAGAGAAGAACGAGUGUGAGAGUGGAAAGUUCACACUGUGACGGUAUCUUACCAGAAAGGGACGGCUAACUACGUG
RNAcentral lists this ribosomal RNA (497 nucleotides) under uncultured bacterium. Its description in RNAcentral is "partial 16S ribosomal RNA". It matches the Rfam family "Bacterial small subunit ribosomal RNA", at positions 28 to 507 of the family's 1533-position model. The record is from RNAcentral.